Molecule: long non-coding RNA, 2033 nt
Organism: Solenopsis invicta (red fire ant)
Lineage: Eukaryota; Metazoa; Arthropoda; Insecta; Hymenoptera; Formicidae
Exons: 4
Source: RefSeq, a predicted model, not a curated record
AUAUGCCUAUUAUAUAUACACGCAUCGCCAAAAAUAAGAUAAUUUAAUAGAAAAUUACGAGUUAGUACGCGUAUUAAGUGCUCGGUGUAAACUAGGCCAUGGUCGACACUUAGGUUAGAACCAAGAAGUCAGGGUGAUUUUACAUAAAGCGCGAAAACGCGGAAACGCGCAAGACAAAAAGAACGAGACUUACUAAGAUUUUUGCAUUUCCGCGCGUUUUGUUCCGUUUUGGAUGCCUUGUAUUACAUGAAGCAUAUUUCAAGCAGAAAAGCGGAAUGAGGAAUUAUAAAUUAUAAAUUUUUAACGGUGUUAAUUAAUUUAAAUGAUUGUAUUCAAUAAAUAAGUUGAAAAGGUAAGUAUAUUAUUAAAAAUUGUAAUAAAUUAAGUGAAUAUUAUUUUAAGAAACGAAUACAAAUGUCUAGUUUUCACCAUUCCGUUCCGCUUUUCCGCGCAAAUCGUGCUCCAUGUAAUACAAGAAGGAAAAAUUCGCGGAACGAACACUAAGGGUGCAUCCCGACGGAGGAAGAAAUAGCGGAACGGAACAGUUACGGAAAGGAGAUAUGGUGGGAGGUCAGCCAAUCAGAGCAAUUCCGUUUCAGUUCCGUUCCGAUUUUUGACGACUAGGCUCCUCACGUAUGAAUGUUUGACGUAACGAAAUUAAAACGGAAAAACUAACCUCACUUUCGUGAAAUGUUUUCGUAGACAACACGUGUCCCAAGUGAGAAACAAAUUUAAAAAAAGUUUUCUGUCGAUCGUAUCAGUUUUUUAUGUUCAAGGAGCAUGUCGUCAUUGGUAAGUAAUAAUAUAUAAAUACAUAACAUGUGUUAAGAACGCUGUCUCACAUGUGUACGUUUUCACGUAAAUUCAAUAAAAUUAUAUUUUAUUAACUAGGACAGAUUUAAAUGUGGUUACUGUGGCUGGGUUGUUUGGCGUUACAAAAAUGAAAGAAUUUCUCACAGUUGCCUUGCAAACUGUGAUCACUUAUUCAUGGAUAACAAUAGAAACCUCUUUAUAGAUGAGACACAUUUGCAUUAGACAGAUAGCAACACUGCCAUUGAAAUAGAUACUGCUGAUAAAGAAAAUAUUGCUGAGAAUUUUGAAAGCACUGCCCACGAUAAUUUAAUAGAAAACAUAGAUGAAGAUUUAAUAGCUACAGUAAAAGAGAGACCAGCCCUGUAUAACUAUCGAAUACUCGUAAAGGAACGAGGAAGGAAACAGAAAGAUCAUUUGUGGCAGGAAGUCAGCAACUGUUUAAAAGAGAAAAAAAGGGUUAAUGCAGAAGACUACGAAGAAGCCUAUGAAGCGUAUGACAAUGUAUCAGAGUUGUCUGAAAAUGUUCAACGAGUAGAAAACGAAUAUUUCGAGAAAAGAGUAAAGUGCAUAAAAAAAGUAUUAUUAAUUAAUAAAGUAAAUGAUUGGAAAAGAUCACAAUUAAGUUGGCACAAAGAAAUACAAAGACGACAAUUAGUGAAAACUUUCCUACUACAUCGUUUUUUGAAAAGAAAAGAAAAAACACUAAUUUUGGGUUCGACCAAUCUUUAUUGAAGAAAGGAGAUUUUAUCAAGGAGAUAGUGACAAUUUAAUUAUAGAGAUGGAAAAUGAUUCUGAAAAAUAUUUUGAAUAUUUGAGAAUGACUAAAGAAUCUUUCAACAAAUUAUUGGAGUUGCUUAAAUCAAAGUUAACCAAACAACAUUUUCUAAGAACUCCAAUAUCGGCCUGUACACGGUUACAAAUCUGUUUACGUUAUUUAGCGUCAGUUGAUACAAUGCAUUCGAUUUCUUUCGCUUUUCGAGUUGGAUGAAAUACAGUCUCCAGAAUUGUAGCGGAAACUUGCGUAGCUAUUUGGGAUGUUUUAAAAGAAAAAGUUUUUCCUGACAUAACAGAGAAUUUGUGGAUCCAAAAAGCAAAAAAUUUGAAGCUUAGUGGGAUUUUCUAAACUGUAUUGGAGCAAUUGAUGGAAAAUAUAUUCAAAUUCAGUUCCAGCUUUUCUCAACUGGUGGUCUGUCUGGCCAAGAACUCGCCAAUAAAUCAAG